UGCUAAGGUUGAGGCGCAGUUAUUAUCAGUAGAUAACAAAAGGGUGAUUCCGUUUUAAUUGUUAUUGAAAGGAGUAACUGCCGAAAUGAAUGAUUUUAUCACGGUCAUUUGUUGGGGUUAUUUUCGAAAGAGGUAACACUGCCAUAGUCUAUUGUGUUGUUAAACUAUGGAGCGCUAUUGUGGGA
RNAcentral lists this non-coding RNA (185 nucleotides) under Vibrio ezurae. RNAcentral's name for it is "Lysine sequence". It matches the Rfam family "Lysine riboswitch aptamer". From Rfam's summary of the family: Riboswitches are metabolite binding domains within certain messenger RNAs that serve as precision sensors for their corresponding targets. Allosteric rearrangement of mRNA structure is mediated by ligand binding, and this results in modulation of gene expression. This family includes riboswitches that sense lysine in a number of genes involved in lysine metabolism, including lysC. The record is from RNAcentral. Lineage: Bacteria; Pseudomonadati; Pseudomonadota; Gammaproteobacteria; Vibrionales; Vibrionaceae. RNAcentral also lists the same sequence under 1 other name.